This 450-nucleotide long non-coding RNA is filed under the name Anas platyrhynchos platyrhynchos (common mallard). Its description in RNAcentral is "lncRNA (ENSAPLG00000019196.1)". Lineage: Eukaryota; Metazoa; Chordata; Aves; Anseriformes; Anatidae. The record is from RNAcentral.
UCUCUCCAACAGUUCAAAAAGCAAUCGGCAUAAAGGACAUUAAUCGAGUUGGCGCCGAGAGCAUCACAUAUAAGUUGAUUCUCACACACAAAGACCUUCAGAAAGUCCAGAGUUGUCUCUUCAGCUACCAAGGAGACUAAGUUCUUCAAGGCAAGCAGAAAACGUGUUCAGAGUUUGUCCAGCUCUGUGCUCUGCACUGCCAACACAGCUGGGUAUUGCUGUACCAGGAAGGAACAUCGGCCUUGGCUGAAUUGGGUGCACUCAUGCAGUGUUUUAUGGAAGAGCUGAUGACUGGCAGCCAAGACAUCCACCUUUGGUGAACCCUUAAAGCCACCGAGCUGUUGCACUCACUGUUCUACCACAAGCCUCAGCCUGCCAAGAGCUGGGACUGUGCAUCCCACUAGCUUCCCAGGGCUGGACCUAAGGAUGGAAUAAAUAAAUACAACGGGC